UAUUGGUCAAUGGCCGAGAGGCCGAACCCGCCAAGUCCCGUGAGGGAAGAAUGUCCUAUGGAUUGUAAACCUCUUUUGUCAGGGAGCAAAGUCACCCACGUGUGGGUGUUGGAGAGUACCUGAAGACAAAGCAUCGGCUAACUCCGUGCUAGCGGCCGCGGUAAUACGGAGGAUGCGAGCGUUAUCCGGAUUUAUUGGGUUUAAAGGGUGCGUAGGCGGGUUAUCAAGUCAGCGGUAAAAUCGUGGAGCUCAACUCCAUCCAGCCGUUGAAACUGAUGAUCUUGAGUGGGCGAGAAGUAUGCGGAAUGCGUGGUGUAGCGGUGAAAUGCAUAGAUAUCACGAAGAACUCCGAUUGCGAAGGCAGCAUACCGGCGCCCGACUGACGCUGAAGCACGAAAGCGUGGGUAUCGAACAGG
Molecule: ribosomal RNA, 416 nt
Filed under: uncultured bacterium
Lineage: Bacteria
Description: bacterial SSU rRNA
Rfam family: Bacterial small subunit ribosomal RNA
Source: RNAcentral